RNAcentral lists this non-coding RNA (131 nucleotides) under Methanosarcina acetivorans C2A. RNAcentral describes it as "Archaeal Small RNA 154". It matches the Rfam family "Archaeal Small RNA 154". From Rfam's summary of the family: Exclusively expressed under nitrogen deficiency, has a central regulatory role in nitrogen metabolism affecting nitrogenase and glutamine synthetase by masking the ribosome binding site or positively affecting transcript stability. Global nitrogen repressor NrpR direct binding. The record is from Rfam by way of RNAcentral. Lineage: Archaea; Methanobacteriati; Methanobacteriota; Methanomicrobia; Methanosarcinales; Methanosarcinaceae.
CGGUUGCUUGCGAGAUUAUCAAAGCCUCAUUUCACACACACACGAGAAUCGAAACGAUUACUCUAGAAGGAUAGGUUUCAUCCCUUCUUCCUGUCCGUUCCUAACGUGGCUCGUGAGCAACUACCCUCUCA